Long non-coding RNA from Stegodyphus dumicola, 11394 nucleotides. The record is from RefSeq and is a predicted model, not a curated record. Lineage: Eukaryota; Metazoa; Arthropoda; Arachnida; Araneae; Eresidae.
AAUUUCUACAUGCCAUCGUACUAGAUUUAAACUGAUGAUCUAAUAUCCGGAAAAUUCCCAAAUCCGGAAUCACCGAAGUCCCAACAAGUCCAGAUUUCGGACUUUGUACUGUACAGUUUUUUUCCUCAUUGCUGGAAAGCAAAGGAGAGGAUUUGAAAGAAGUAGGAUAUGAUCAUCUCACAGUUAACUACAAAUACAGUUUCGUAGACCAAAAACUGGAUGUCAUACCCAAACAGUUGAAAGUAUGUGGAGCAGCACAAAAUGACGUUAAAUGCCAAUAUAGUACCAUACACCACCAUCUUGAAUCAUUAGAGUUUAUGUAGCAACAGUUAUAUUAAAAAAAAAAGAAUUUCUUUCCAAACUAUUAGGCAUCUCUAAACUCAUGAUCCCUGUUCAAGUUUAAAUUGCAUUUCAUUUAUAAUGUAUUUAAAAUUUAUUAAUACUGUUAUAAUAAAAAAUAUGUUUUUCGUGGCACCCGUAUGACAGAAAAGUACCUAUGAUAAUAAUUAGGCAUAACACAGUUUUAAUUAUAAAAUUUCCAUAUUGUUAAAAUUUUAAGUUUAAUUAAAUAAACUUAAAUAGUUUUAAACUUUCUAAAUAUAUUGUAAGUUGCUGGAGAUAAUCAUAUUUAUAUACCAGUGUUUCUUUAAAUUUUUUAGUUAGGUAUUUCUGCGAAGAUACUUAUUGGUGGAAAGGUAAGACUCGAAAAAAGAAGAACAAACUCAUGGAAUGCAUGCAUUGUGGUUACACUUGUGGUUACCCUAAAGAUUUGAGAAGACACAUUUUGACCCAUACUGGAGAAAGACCUCAUACCUGCACUACCUGUGGAAAAAAAUUUGUUUUAUCCCAUCACUUGAAAAAGCAUUUGAGAAGUGUUCAUUUGUUAGAUAUUUGAAAAUAUUUGUUUUUAAAGUAUGGAUUUUGGUAUAAAUUUAUAGAUUUGUUUUUCAUAAAAUAAAAUUAAUUCUAGUUAUAAUUCAAUACAUUAAUCUCUUAAUUUUUACAUUUCACAUUAUUUCGUACAAACAGAUUAACUGUUGCACAUGAAAUGAGUUUUAUAGCAUACAUCAUAAAAUUUUGUGUUUAUUUAGUUACAAGCAGUCUAGUCACACAUUAUACAAUGCCCUCGCAAAUUAAAGUAUCAGAAUGCUGGUUUGAUGAAUCUUUCUGUGUAGUAUAGUGCUGAAAUUGUACUAAAACAUUUUAUUCUUAUUUUAUUUAACAUUUACAGUUACUUGGCAAUAUAUUGUAUUCUUGUGAAAAACUAAUAUUACUAACACCUUCAAUGUUUGGUAUAUCCCAUAUAUCCAUGAUUAAUCUAGUAUAAACAACAACAACAACAAAAAAAAAAGGUCCUUUGUUAAAUUUGCAGCUUACAUUCCGAAAACUUAUUGAUGCAGAACCAUUGUAAUAGUCCUUAAUUUGCCAAAGUUGGCAACUAUUUGCCCUUCUUUGGUACAUUUUGGCUUUUUCUUUAUUAACACGCAAGUACUUGUUGUUAUUUAUGAAUGGUUCCAGAAAUUAUUCUUGAAAUUACUUCAGAUAUUUUAAGUGCUUUCUGAUUAUCUUUAACCCCUUCCUGAAAAGUUGCUGAUUUUUUUUAUAACCUACCAAUUACAAAAUUAAAAAUGUAAGAAACUUCCAUAAUAAAGUACUUUCUUUUUGUGCUUUCUUCCAACAUACACGGCAUAUUUUAGCUUCAGAAAACAUCUGAGAAUUUCAAAGCUUGGCACCACAGCACACAGUGAUCUGUUUUCACUUAAAAAGAAUAUGGUUAUUACACACUGUUUCUGCAUGUACACAAUGAUCACGUUUCAUUUAAAAUUUAUCAGAUAAUUGCACAAAUUUUGGUCAGUAAAAUUCAAUCAUUUAUGAAAUACAACUUCAUAGAAUGAAAAUGUUUGCAUUCUCUGUUGUUAGGCAAAGUACCAUAUUUUUAGAAACACAAUACUUUUAUUUUCAUCAGCUGGCAAAAUUCACCUUAUGAUUUAAAAAAAUACUAAUGCCAUCUUCUCAUCUGCUGCAUGCAUACACAUACAUGGGUUUCAACAUAAAUACAUUCUGGCAACAUAUGGUUUUGGCUUUUAAGUGCUGUUCAGAGGUUACAGAUAAUCAGAAAGUACCUUCACCUGACACCUGUUUAAAAGUCACUUUUCAUUUCUUAACUUUUAUUUCAGUAACAUGAAGAUCAGUGAGCAUAUAAAUAUAUGAGUACUGUUAAAAAAAAAAAAAAAAAAAAAAAAAGACCGAACAUCUUUAUAUUGCAUGCCAACAACUCUAGAUGGCCUAUUGUGGCUAUUGUCUGUGCCUAAAGUCAUAUUAUGAUAACAUAUUGCCUAUUACUAAAUUCUGAUUUAUGCGCUUGUUGUCAAGUAAUUACCAGAUGGAAUGAGGUUGUAUAUAAACUGCUUGUUUGGUUAGUGAAAAAGUAAAAAUAAAAAAGUUGGAGGUACAACAUGGCUGUGUGAAAGUUUGCAUAAAACUGGGAAAAAUUUUCACAAGAUCAUUCCAAAUGUUCAAUCAAAUACACAAAAGAUGACACAAAAUUGAACACUGUCUAUGAUUGGUUUCAGUGUUUUAAGUAGGAUAGAAGAUUGGUUGCCAGAGACUCAAGGAUUGGAUCAGAGCUGGAUUAAUUAUAAAAAUACACAUGUACUUAGGGCACUAAGGGAGAGGAGCACUACAAAAAUUCUUUAGGAAGGGGGUAUUACAAAAAUUUCUCAUUGCCUUUUUACUGUGGAAUAUGUACACUGCAGGUAAACAAGACCAAAAGAAGGAAAGCAAAAAAGCAUGCAUAAAUUUAUGUGAGGCAUCUAAAAGUUAGCGGCCUUGGACUGGGCAACAAUUCAAUGUCAACAGAUUAAUAUGUUCAGAGUUCACCAGAAAUGUGUACUAUGUGGUCAGAUGCUAAACAAGGAAGUCAGACAGAGAAUUUUAACAUGGUUGAGAGAUGCUGUAUAUAGGAAGAUAACUGAACUGUGAGAGGAAUCAGUUGUGGAUGUUGCAUCAUGAAUAUCCUUCUGCUCAUUCAUUACUCCUUAUUGCCAGUUAUCUGACAAAACAUUGUACUUUCAUUGUGCCCCACCUAUCCUAUUGUGCUGACAUGGUUCUGUACAAUUUUUUCCUCUUUCUCAAACUUAAAACCACUUUGAAAGGGCAUCAUUUCCAAUCCAUAGGAAAUUUAAAAAUAUUGCAUCAAAAAAGUGAUUUCCAGCAGCCAUUCCAGAAGUGGGAAAGGUGUAUUGCCACUACAGGGAAGUAUUUUGAAUGGGAUAUUGGUUGAAAGCUUGUAAAAUUAGCAAUAAAACAAUAACGGCAAAAAUUUGGUCUUUUUUUUUUUUUAAAACAGUGCUUGUAUUUUCCCCAAAAAUUUCAGGAAGGAGAUAAGAAGUGUUACUUUGUGGUACGAAGUGAAGCAAUUAAAAUGUGCAGCAGUUAAAUGAAAAUGUAGGUUUAAUUUUGAAAAAAAUGUUCAGGAGUUUUAGAAAAAUAUGUGUGUUCAUGGAUUAUGAAGAAAUGCAUUAAGUUAUUACAAAAGAAGUAUACAGUUUCAGUAUUUAAUAUAAAAAGCACUUGUGAAAUGUAUGAAAAAAAUUUGAAAGGCUGUGUGCAUGAGCCUAAAAGUUUUUUCCAGUAUUCUGUCUGAUAAUGCAUUCUCAUGCAGUCAUGGUGUGUCUUGUUACCUUGUUACUCAGUAAAUAAAAUGGCUACAUUUGCAGUGAAGAAUACAAUAUAUUUUAUAAUACAGCAGAAAGGAAUCCUUUAUUGUGGUCCAAUAAAAAUUUCAGUUAGAGUUCAGAAAGUUACUUUCAAACAGGAAAUCUGUCUACAAUAAUAUGAGAAAUUUAAAAGUGAGGUUUGCUUUUGCUGUCUUGGACAACUUCCAUAUCUGAAGGACAAGUUGCAUGUGUUCACAGUGCCUUCCAAACUGUAAGGAAUUGAGGGUGCAUUUUCAGAGAUUCCAUAGCUUACUGUUUGGAAAAUUUUAUGAAAGGUUCUAAAAUACAUUUCAUGCAAAUCAUACUCUCUAAGUGAAGUUGAAACACGAUACUGAUAUAAAUUACAAAACAAGAACUUCUCUGCUGUGAUCUGAUUAUUUGUCAACUGAGUUAAAUGAGGAAUAGCAAUUGCAUACAUCACUGUACAGAAUGCUAGGGCAAAAAUUCAUAUCUGCAUGCACAUAUCCCUUCAAAUUUCAUUUCAACAUUUUUCUUUUUAUUAUUAUUGAAAUAUAAUACUUUUGUACGAAGUGCACAUCAUAAUAACACUGUGUAUGUACAUAUAAUGUAAAUUUUUUUAUUCAACCAUUAGAACUGAUUGUAUUAAGUAGUAGCACUGACUGAUUCCAAAUGUUACAUGGAUGUAAAAAUAUCAAAUGCAAAAAAGGAUUAGCAAAAGAAUAUUUUUAAUUUAUUAUUUUGUAUAGUUCCCACUAAAUUUACUGCAACUUUUAGCAUUUUGUUUAAUUCAUAGAUUUAAUUGAUCUUAUUUCAUUUACUAAUCAGGAAUUAAAAGUGUUAAUGUAUCUAUUUUAAAAACUCAGUCAGUGCAUUUCAAAAAAUAAAACUAUGGCAUCUUCCCCCCCCUUUUUUUUCAGGGACUACUUAAAUUAUGUUACUUUCAGUUCGGUAUCGAAAGUUUGAAAUAGUAUGUUAAAAAAUAUAAAGGGGCUAUUUUAGGUAUAUUUCAAGGUUCUUUAUUAAUAAGAAAUAUAAAAAUUAUCUUUUGCUUUGUAAUGAAGUUUUUGAAUGUACAAAACAUAGCAUCAAACAAAAUUUAUCGUCAUUUGUGUCUAAUAUAUGGACCAGAUGUCACAAGUAAGCAGAUGAUGCAUUGCAGGUACAAUCAGCUUUCAGGUUAUCAAAAUACGCAUGAUGAGUGCAGUGGGCAGCUAGUGGUUGAAUAAAUGCAACAUAGUAUUUUAGAGAACCAUUACUUUAUGUUUAUUUAACUCUGCAGCCAUUUUCCUCAGCUUUUCUGCUGCUUGUUGCAUGAAAUUUUCAUCAAUUGCCUAUUUUUCCAGAAGUUGUGCACAAGGUGGCUGCUGAAGGAACUGACAUCUGAGCAUAAAUCUAAGUGGAUGAGCUUGUAUUGACAUUUCAGCAAUGAUACCAUAGUGAUGGUGAUAAGCUUCUGAACUAGAUCAUUACUGUUGAUGAAAUAUAAGUGAUACACUUACAGAAAAUUAAACAACAAUCAAUACAGUAGUGUCAUAAUGCAUCUCUUAUACAGAUGAAAUUGAAGCGGACUGUAUUGGUGUGGAAAAUGAUAUGCAUAGUGUUUUGGAACAAGCAGGCUGUUCUACUCACUGAGUUCCUGAUCAGAGGGAAAAGUAUGAAUGUUGAUGAUUACUGUGAAAAACUGCAAAAAUUGUGACAGGUUGUUGGAAACAUGAUGUGGUGCACUUAAUGUGUGCAUUGGCUCAUAUAGCUCUUUGCCCAACAAUUCUAGAAGAGUUCUGCUGAGUCAUCUUUGAAUACCUGCCAUAGAUCUUACUUCCAACGAUUUCCACCUUUUUUUAUACCUCAAAAAAUUCCUGUAGUCAGCAUUUUCAAAGUGAUAUAAGUAUGCAGAUGGCUGUCGCACGUUCUGAUGCAAGAUGACAGAAUAUGUAUCAUCAUGCAUCAGUUGAUGGCAAAUGUUGCAGCAAUUCAAAGUUGAUACUACAAAUAUGACAUUUGUCUUUAAGACAUUUGUCUUGUAUUAAGACAUUUGUCUUAAUUCUGAAAGGAAUGAUGCGGAAAAAUUAUUGGAAAUUGCUGUAUCUGUUGCAAAAUCUUCCUGUGAGAUUAUUUACUUUAUGUAGAUAAUACCAAGAAAUUUGCUUUCUGAAGCCCCUGUUUAAAAUUUUAUAUUAGAAAUUAAUUUUCAGGUUUCUGCAAAAAAUAUAUGUACUACCAGCAUAAAACUGAACAAAAUGAAUUUAAAAAAAAAGUAUUUUUAAGAGAUACACAUAAUUUAUUAGUAUGUUGUUGUAAUGAUGGAAUUUUUUCCCAGUAAUCAGUUUUUACCAUUUUAUGUCAUCUUUGUUUGCAGCAUAAGCAGUAGAAUACACAUAUAGUAAGCAUAAUGUAUUAACUCAGUGAAAUAAGCCCAAAUCUGACCGCCAUUUUUAAUUUUAGUUUUACAUCUUUGCUACAUAUAGUUGAUGUGUGUGGCAAGUAUGUAGUGCUUUUCUGUGCUAAUACACUUUAUAAACACAUCAUAAAUAAUUCUGUGUUUUUAGAUAUUUAUAACAUAAAAAGGACUGGGUUGGAGAGAAACAUGCUACAGUUCGAAAUGUUUUCAUCAACUAAGCAAAGAGGCUGCCAGUUAAUGAUAACACUAAAUUUUUGUUGAAAGAAAACAAAGUGUAAAAUGUGAUAAAAUAGAUAUAAGAAGGAAUAAAAGGAUAAUUUUCUAAUUAAAAAUAAGAUUAAAAGGUCUUGAAUGAAAUUAAAAUUUUGUCUUUCAUACAUGUACAGACAUAUAUACCAUUGUUUGGUAAAAAUUAACACAUGAAAGAGUUAUCAUAUCGAACAGAAAUCGGGCAUACAGGUUCACAAAAUGCAAAUGAUUACAAGUUCAGCUGCAUAUACAAAUAGGAUGUGUGUGUGUGUUUGGUUAAAAGUUAAUUCAGUAGAUAUAAAAUGCACUCCUUAACGAUGUAUUUGAUUGAUAUUCGUUAUAAAUACGUAGAAAUUUGUCUUGGCACAAAAGACAUUAUGAAAAAUUAGAAGAGGAAGAACUAACAGAUUGAGAAAAGUGAUUUGCUGCUCAUUUUAGUCAAAGUGCUAGUUUAGUUAUGUGUAAGUGUAAGAAGGUUCAACACAUCAACAAGGAUUAUGAAGGAAUAUAACUGCUUUAGAAUGAAAGCCAAUCACAUAGUACAUAUACAUGGCUGGAGAGGAUUCAUAGUAGUAAAGGAUGGUGUACCAGGCUGUGUUUUGCAAGAAAUUUUUGUUUAUGAUUCCUGUAGUGAAAGUUCAUUGGUUGGAAUCUAUUAUCAUGACUUCAUGUUUAGAGCUGUAGAUGUCAGCAAAUUCAUUGGUUCAAAAAACAAGGAAAACUGAAGUACUAAAAGGAUGUAAAUAAUUUUUUUCAUUAAGUCUUUAUGCAGUCUCAUAACUGAUGAUGAUGGACUAUUAUUUUCCAUUACAGGGAAAACUGAAUCCAAAAGGCUGUGAUAAAGAGUAUCAUAUUGAUCUUUGCUGGAAUGUUGUUUGAGGUGAUAUUAUAUUUAAUUCUUGCCGUUGUCUUCUAUGUAUCACUGGUACUGUAAACAGUCAGCAGCAUAUCAGUGAGAUCCUGGAAUUAGAAAUUCUGUCACUUUUUCAUAGCUAACUUUUAACAGGAUAAUGCUACCAGCCCCAGCCAAUUAAAAAAAAAAAAAAAAAAAAAUUGCAUGCAGUAUUCAAUAUUUUGCUUUAUAACAGGCAGGCAUAUACCUAUUUGUCUUUCACAUACACAGUUGCAUAUUUCAAAUAUUUGGAUCAAUAAUAUGGAAGUUUUUGGAUUAUCUCCCAGCAAAAGAAAUUGUGAAUAUGAAUAAAAAUAGCGACUAUUAAUAAAAUAGUUAAGUAAAAUUAAUAAAGAUAUGUUUUUAUGAAAAGAUUCAUUAAAUGCCAAUUUUAAGUCUAGAAUUACAAAGUUUCAUUAUAUAUAUAUAUAUUGUAUUUCCUUGCAAAAUUUUCCCCUAACUUUUUAACAUCAGAUUUUGAAAAUUUUUAAAAAUAUUCAUGGAAUUUUUCCCUUCUCUAAAUGUGUUCAAAAUGGAUUUGUUCAUGAAGUGAUUGUCUUCAUUUUAUUAACAAAGACAAACCAGUGUAAGUUCCCUGUGAAGGUCACAGUGAAACAAGUAUGGGCUAUCAUUUACUUUACAGUUUAGCUGAAUCAACUGCACAUUCACUUUCUGUAAUUAUUGAUGGAUGAUCUGAGGCUAAGGAAUAGCAGAGACAACAAUAAGAAGGGACAAGAUUCAAGUUACUGAGAGAUUACAUGCCAACAAAAAGGAAGCGUGUUGUUUUGACUAUGAAGGACAAAAUUAAUAUUAUUAUCAGAUUGAAACAAGGUGAAAGUGGAUCUAAACUUGCAGAUGAAUAUGGAGUUGGGAAGUCAACAAUUUCAGAUAUAAAGAAAAAUUCAGAAUCUAUUUUAAAGUAUGUCUCUGAUAGUGAAGAUGAUAGUUUGUUGAGAAAAACGAUGCGAAGAAUUGAUUAAAGAAAGAUUGUCUGUUCAUAGGUUUUCAAAACAUUUUUUAUGAUAAUUGAUUCUGGAUUUUGAAUGUAUUUGAGUGAGCAUUAAUAUUUAAUGAGAAAUAGGAGGAUAUUUAUAAGACACAUAACAGCUAGCUUGGACAUUUUAAAGUCCAGAGUAGAAAGGAUUAAGCAUAUUAAAGAAUCACUAAGAGAAUAGCAUUCAACUUGGAUCGGGAUUUUUUUUUACAAGGGAAAUAUCAAUCUCUCUCUGUAAUUGUGUUUUAUUUAAAAAAUAAAAUGCAUUUUAUCUGAACUAUGAAACUAAUCACUUUCAAAAUAUAACACAUAGAUUACAUACAUUUAGCUCAUCUUUGUUUUCAAACAGUUGUAUUUUUGAAGUAAAUUUUCAUAGAUCUUGCACUAAAUAAUGAAACACAGGUUUUAAUUUUUUUAAUUUAUUGUUUUUUCUCUAUUUUAUAAAAUAAACACCAUUAAAACCUUGUUACAAAAUAAACACCUUUAAAAUAUUCUUGUACUAAAAUAAUUUAUCCAAAAAAUGUUCAUCAGCAACUGACAUAACAAUUUGGACACUCGAAAGGUCUCUGGAGAUAUUUCUAGUAACAUUUUUUGUUUUAAAUGAAAAUACAUCGCACAAACUAUUGUCUGCAUGUGGAAAUUAUUAUUUGCUUAGCAAAAUGUAUUAACAGUUCCAAAGCUGAUGGAACAUGGCAAAAUGCUACAAUUUAAUAACGAAUUUUGUUAGAAAUUUAACAAUUCAUCAUUUAAAGAUGGUAAAGUAUUCAGAAUACCCACCCCCCCAAAAAAGAAAUUCUGAAUGUAAAGUGUUCAAUGGUUUUCUUAUGGUAUAUAACAAUGGAAAUUUUGUGGAACUGCUGAAAAUGCACUGAAGUUUGGACCACAUUUUGGCCAAUACUAAGGAAUCUCAAAUUUAUCCUUUGAAAAAUCAAACAACACCCUAAAAUUAGUGCUGUAAAACUUGCUGGGGAUAUAAAAGAACGCUUUUCAAAACAAGUUAAUUUUGAAACUCUUAGAAAAGACAUUAGGGCACAUAGAUGCAAUGGAUGGUCAGCAUGGAGGAAAUUCUUUGUCAAAAAGAAAACAAGGAAAAUAUACCUGGAUUUUGCAGAAUCCAUGGUAAACAAAGAUUUUUUAUAUUAAAAUGAUACUAUAUUUGCAGAUGGACAAGUUACUCUGUGGUGAAAGCCACAUGAAGAAUUGAAUUAAAAAACCUGUUGCCUGCUUUUAAGCAGUGCAUUUUGAGGAAAGGGUGCCUGGACCUGGCAUUGCUCGAGGCAGCCUUACACGGUUAAUUGCCCCAACCUCAAAGAGGCAUACCCCCCAAGUCAACCCAGCGGUACAAUUUUUGUUUCACAAAGUCUGGGUUUUAGUACACAGAGUCAGUGGUGGAUGGUUAUGCAUCUACCUAAAAUUAAAGUCCACUUGUUUGACAUCAACUGUCCUAGUGUUGACCAAGGAGAGCCAAACCCAUGCAGUGUCUUUACAACCAAGGGGCAGACAAGCCAGUACCAUAUGGUCCCUGCCGAGCCUGAACCUACCACCGAAUAAAUGAUGAUUCCAGUUACUGUCAAGACUGUUAAUUUUUCCCAGGAGUCUGUCUAGAUAUCGACCUAGCCAGAAUGCUGGGAUUGCUCCCAGUCGACCCCCAGGGAGAAAGCCUGCUUUUAACCUUCAAAAACUUACCGGAAUAGUAACCAUUUGUCUAUGAGUCGAACAGUGCUUAAGCGUGUUUAAAAUCUAUUUUAAAAGUUAAUUAAAAUAAAAGUAUACUACCCGCAGAUGAUUUCAGAACUCUGAAACUUCAAGGUAGCAAGGAAGUAUCAUUUAUUUAUUCUUAAAGCAGUCUUUACACAUACUAGCAUGUUGUUCUCUGAGCAUUACUCUGGAACAUGUUUGACAAAAGUUGGGAGUCAUUAUGCGCAAAAUGUAAGAAAAAAAGCACAAUAUUUUUCUUUUUUUACUGUCAGAUUGUUCAGGAGGUUUCAACAGUUCCUUUAUAAUUGUUCUUGUUGAUCGAGGCAAAGUUGGUAUGCUGUAACUCUUCUUCAUCCAUGGAGCAAGAACAUCUUUACUUACUUCACAUAGUAGCUAUAUUGCGAACGUUUUCCUCGAUGAUGCCUUUUCAGAUUUUAUAUUAUGUAAGUAGAUAACAUGUGCAUGCAUUAAACUGAUAGUUAUCAUGCUGCGAAACGCAGAAAAGAGGCCUUAGCUGAGUUUUCUGCUACAUGACAUCUUGUUGCAUAUCUGAUCCAAUGUGUCUGCAGUGCAUUUUUUGGCUCAGUUAUUUGGCUCUUUAAUAAAUGGAUAAUAUUGCAAGGUGCUGUACUUAUGUUGUUUGAUUUAGGAACAGAUGACCAUUUAUCUUUACCACUCGGCUGAAUUUUACCAGGGUAAAUAACACAUUUUUCAUGACUCAAUAAAUUUCAGAAUUUUUUAACUUUUUAAGCAUUUUUUUUUAAGCUCCGUAUUUCAAAUUUAAUUUUUCAACUUGUUUUAGCAUUUUCUUUUUUAGGUCCAUAUUUCAAAUGAAAAUUUUCAUCAUCCAGGGUUUGUUUUUAAAACAUUGUUUCUUCUUCAUUUUUAUUGUUGAGUGAUAAUUCCUCAUUUCCAUCUUUGUCGCCAUCUGUUAAUUCGUGAUUUUCAACCUCAGCAAAAUCUUUCUCUGAUUCAUCCUAAGAAAUAGAAUUUUCUUCAUCACUCUUGGGUAGCCUCAAGUCUACCCCAAAAAUUUCUCCCUGAAAACUCUUUGACUUCUUCAAGGCAACGCAGAAUUGAACUUAAAUCAGAUUCUGAAAUGAAACGUUACAGCUAACCAUUCGUCUGUGAGACGAAUAUUGUUCUAAAAAUACUAUAUGCGAAAAUAUGUCUGUAAGAAGGAGUGUCCUAAUCUAUAGCAGCCAAUAUCAUAUAAAGGUACUGAGUCUCGCAUCCCAAUUCCUGUUUUAGGGAAGGCCGGGCAAGGUUAAAUGUUAUGGGCUUCGUCCAGGAGACAAAUGGGUAGCAUUCUAGGGUUAAGCAAGAAGGUGGAGGCAUAAUGGUUUGAAGAUGUUUUGCUGCUUCUGGGAUGGAAAAUUUAGCUUUUGUAGAAAAUAAUAUGGAUCUAUGUAAAUGUACAAAUAUUCUUAAAAAAAAAAAAAAAAAAAAAAAAAAAAAAAAAAAAAAAAAAAAAAAACUGAAA